This 537-nucleotide long non-coding RNA is filed under the name Androctonus crassicauda. The record is from RNAcentral. Lineage: Eukaryota; Metazoa; Arthropoda; Arachnida; Scorpiones; Buthidae.
GAAAAUUAAACCGUGCUUAUCUUGUUAACGUUUGACCCCUAGUUUAUUAUAGAUAUUUUGCAUGUCUCGAUCCCUCUAUCGAUCGAUAUCAUUUUUAUGUAGGUAUCUUGGAUGAUGCGUAUCGAUAUCGAACUGUUUGUAGUUCUAAUAAUAGUAAGCUGUUAUAAUAGUACUGUAUUUGGUAAGAUUGCAUACAUUGCUGGCAAAAAUGGCGCACACUGUGGGGUCGAGAUUACGCGCAAAAUAUUCCUAAUGAACUGGAGGUCAAAGUUUAACGAGAUAAACAGGCGUCUAGGCGACGUAGGUAACGGAGAACGGGACGCGUCGCGCCGCACACCAUAGGCACAACAUCAAACCUGUAUAACUUUAACGUCAACGUUAUACAGGCUGAAAAUUAAACGGUGCCUAUCUUGUUAACGUUUGACCCCUGGUUUAUUAUAGAUAUUUUGCAUGUCUCGAUCCCUCUAUCGAUCGAUAUCAUUUUUAUAUAGGUAGCGUGGAUGAUGCGUAUCGAUAUCGAACUGUUUGUAGUUCUAA